Molecule: RNA transcript, 1246 nt
Organism: Topomyia yanbarensis
Lineage: Eukaryota; Metazoa; Arthropoda; Insecta; Diptera; Culicidae
Gene: Tom7
Gene name: mitochondrial import receptor subunit TOM7 homolog
Exons: 3
Source: RefSeq, a predicted model, not a curated record
CGUCAAAAACUGUUUUUGACAAGUUUUCCUUAUCGAUUCAACCGGAUUCAACAAGCAUCAGUGUUGAAACGUUUUCCUGCGAACAAUUUGUAAUUUUAUUGCGUGCGAAAAUCCAUAGUUAGCCGCAAUCCAUACAAUGGCUCUUUCUCCGGAUGCAAAGGAACGUCUGAGCGUAGUUUUUGAGAUUGUAAAAACCACAUUCCAUUGGGGAUUUAUUCCAACCGUGUUGUAUUUAGGUUUUCGUCAAGGAUCCGAAGCUGGUAUGCCUCCGCUUUCAGUAAUGAGCUUGCUUUGGCAAUGAAUUCUGGUUAUCAUGUGCGGUUAUUGCUAAUGUAAUAACAAGGAAAUUUUUUUAGUAUUUAUGUCGGUAAUUAUCUACCAAUCUGGAUUGAAGCUGCUUGUGUAGAGAAAUAGCAGGUGUGUUCAAUACUCCUACGAACCACAAAUGGGACUAAAUAUAGUUUGAAGAUACGUCUAUAUAGAAGCCCAAAUAAUGUUCCACUACAAUCAACUAGAGCAGAGAAAAUAAAAACGCGUCGGCUGAGAAAUUUGAGUCUAAUGAUACCACGCUACACUGUCAUUCUACGCAUAAUUGGCCUAUGUAUAUAGGGUAUUAGAAUAUGGAACAAUCUUAUACCCACAGCGGAAGUGUACCACCAAAUCAUUCAUACAAACUGUUACCAAGUAUUUUGAAUCAAAAUCUCACAUGGGUUCGAUUAUUAAUUGUACCAACCUGAUAAGUAGGCUAAUGAACCAAUGGUUAAAGCCUCUAUAAUUGAAACAAAAAAGAUCUUGCAAAAACUUUUUUUGUUUCAUUGAGAUACUUGUUGAAUCCGAGAGUGUUGUUUCGCCUGUUACAUCAAAAUAACAACAGCCAGCUCAAUACUCAUUUCCGGAAGCGAAAUCGACAUUUUAUUUAUACGCCUUUGUAAUUACAAUCGAGAGUGGCCUUUGUAUCUGAAUGCUCAGAAAUUUAUAUCUAAAAAUCUAUACCUAGUAGCUCAUAGUCGGAACCUUAAUGCCAAUGUAUCAUCAGGGGUCUUAUUCUCAGUCACGUAACUUAGUGGUUUCUUUUAGUCACUAGGUGACAUGACUGUGAGAAUAGAGCCCCUAUUGCGAUAUCAAAGAUGUAUUUGUCUACAACUAGAGUACAAAGCCGGAUUGACUGCUAGUAUAUGCGGUUUUGUUAAAAGAAGUUAUUAAACUUUUACCGAAGUGAUGUCUGAGUCAGUUUUGCAUGGGGCCU